UGUUGAUCUUAUCAGACUCUAUUAUGGAUUCCAUGUGGUCCAACAAAUACCACCAACAAUCCCAGACAAUUUUACACCCAAAAAAACUUCCCUAAGAACUUUAAGAGUCGCUGCCUUUUGCAAGAGUGACAAGAGAAGGACCAACUUUUGCCAACUGUUGGGCAUAUUUUGAUGUUCAACAGUUGAUAUAAUAGUUUGUGCGUGAUAUGAAGAGAUAAACGGUAUUGGCCAAAACAGUGCAGCUUUUUAUCAAACUAUGGACAUCUUUCUUGCUAAAGUAUGCUUUUCUUCUUGUUCAGAGCAUGCUGUUGUUGUUUUUAGCUGGUCAUGAAGUAAAUGAGUCUGUUAAUUUCACUGCCACAUGUAAAGCUCUCAUCACUCCUGCAUGGAUGGAUGGGUAGGUCCCGAGUUCCAGUUUCCAAGUUCCAACAACAAGAAGGGGAAAGAAAAUGUUGGGUUUCAGAUGCUGGGAUAAAAAGACAACAACAGAGAAGGCACGGGACAGAUCUGCUUGCACAGUUUUGCAGCCUUCAGAUGUUUGCUCUGAAAUCACAUGUGAUCUUUUUUACACAGGUUUUUAUUUAUGUUAAAUUUCAUAGGGACGGGUUAGCUACUCACUAUUAGCAAUAUCAAUGUUGUCUUCAACUUAAUCACUUAUAAAGUCCAAUAAAUAUGAGAUUUUAUUACAAAA
RNAcentral lists this long non-coding RNA (691 nucleotides) under Prunus dulcis (almond). Its description in RNAcentral is "sRNA ncRNA". Lineage: Eukaryota; Viridiplantae; Streptophyta; Magnoliopsida; Rosales; Rosaceae. The record is from RNAcentral.